AUGGGAAGCUCAUCUCAGAGACCUCAGUUAGCUCUUUCUUUUCUGAUUUUAUUAUUUUUUUCUAAUUCAAGGGAUUUCUUUUGCACAAGCAACUAUGUGAUAUGUGUUGAAACUCCUUUACCUGUGUGUAAAUGCAGACAAAACCAGGGAAGGAGGCCUGAAAGCAGAAGAGCAAAGUUCCCUCUGUGUUCUGGUAGCAUGAGCUGAUUGAUUUGGGAAAACCUUAAUAUCACGUGAAGAAAGAACUUGUGGAAAGUACUCUGAGAAAUCAAGAAACAAACCUGUUCAUUCCCCUGCUGUUCUGUUUCCAAAUAUUGUGCACUCUCAUUCCCAUUGGCUUGCUGAGAAUGAAUUCCAGGAGGACAGGAGGAAAAGCAAUAGUGUUCAUCAUAUCCAUUCUUUUUUUGGUUGUUUAUGCUAUUACUUUAUGCCUCCUGGUCCUCAUGCUAGAGUCAAAGCAUGUGAAAGACCACAAGCGGGGAUGAACUCCUUUCAUGCUGUUCUUCAUGUACCUCUGUGUGAAUGUAAUUUAGCUCAGUAUGCAAAACCUCAGCAACUUUUUUGAUAAAUAUACAACUAUUAUAUCAACAAUUUGUUUACUGUAUCAUGCUAAGUUUUAUCUUCAGUUCCACUGUCAAGAUGUGCAUUCCUUGAGUUAGUAUUCUUCUGGGUCAAGUCAUAUUAUGGAUAGUAUUGUCUUUGAGCCCUUUGUAAUGGAAAAGAUGUGUCCAGUCUGUUUUGAACACUGCAGAUGCAGGGAAAAACUUUUGCAGAUCUUAUGCAACACGGACCCAUUCAAACUUCACUGGUGUUUUUUAUUUUUUAUUACAAAAGGUCUGAGAUAAUAGCAUAUUUUUCCUGAGGAAAGACAGCCGUGUCGUCUUUACUUUUUUAGUUGCUAUGUGACUGGUUGAUCUCCUGCUACUUGUGAUUUUUCUUUUUAAACUUGUAAAGUUUCAGAUUUCAGAGGUACGUGGAUUUCAUGGGGGAGUGCAUAAAGAUAAGGUAAUAAAAGGGACUGAAUAUUUUCUGCUUUAAGUGGU
Molecule: long non-coding RNA, 1043 nt
Filed under: Anas platyrhynchos platyrhynchos (common mallard)
Lineage: Eukaryota; Metazoa; Chordata; Aves; Anseriformes; Anatidae
Description: lncRNA (ENSAPLG00000025036.1)
Source: RNAcentral